Molecule: non-coding RNA, 147 nt
Filed under: Nomascus leucogenys (northern white-cheeked gibbon)
Lineage: Eukaryota; Metazoa; Chordata; Mammalia; Primates; Hylobatidae
Source: Rfam by way of RNAcentral
GCCGGGUGUGGUGGCGCAUGCCUGUAAUCCCAGCUACUUGGGAGGCUGAAGCAGAAGAAUUGCUUGAACCCAGGAGGAGGAGGUUGCAGUGAGCCAAGAUAUGUCACUACACUCCAGCCUGGGUGACAGAGCAAGACUCUGUCUCAA